UGUAUAAUACGUAAGGCUACCAAAAUUCUUCCAGCCAAAUUUGAAAUUAAGAUUGAAAGGAGUGUCCUCAGAGCUUAACCCUCUGGCUUAGGAAUCUACAAAGAGAGAGUCCAACUAAUCAACGUAAACUUGUUUCCAUAUCUAGAAUAGAUAAAAUGGAUCCAAGCCAAACAAAAUUAUUUAUCAAUGAAAAUAAGAACACAACAAAACACUGUGUUCAGUUGUGUGUGUAUAUGGAGGGAGAGAGANNNNNNNNNNNNNNNNNNNNNNNNNNNNNNNNNNNNNNNNNNNNNUCAUAGCGAGAAAAGUUCAAAGAUGAUUCAGGUAAAGCAAGACAUGACAAAAUCUGGACUGUGAGUAAAUAAGACAAUAAUGCUUGACCUACUUUUGAGAUUUAAAGAAUAGUGAUCAAGACAUGACAAAAUCUAUGAAAAUAAGUUUAGGAAGAAAUAAAAAGAUAGAUGCUUAUUUCUAUCUCAGAAGAUUUAAACGGUAGAACAAUUAAAUGUGGAAGACAUUUCAUAUUUCAAUAGUGAAAACAAAACAUUAAGCUCAAAGAAAGAACUAGCACAUACUGAUGGGAUCUUAUUUUCUUGUAGAAAUNNNNNNNNNNNNNNNNNNNNNNNNNNNNNNNNNNNNNNNNNCAUGGUUUAUGAUAAACUCCACAGCAUAAGGACCUGUUAAGCAUAAACAAAUGUUAAUUAAAGUCAUUAAACUAUCCUCUUGUUUUUGACCAAAGCUUCUUCAGAGGAUAUUUUUGAAAUGAUAAAACAAAUCACAUUGUCUUGUUUGGAUUAACUUAUUUGAGGUUUUCUACUAUCAUAAGCAUUUACGAGACUUUUUAUGUCUUUGUGAGAGCUUAAUUAUGGAAGAAACUUAUGACAUGUUCAUAAGUUGUUUUUAGUUUAUCUCUAUAAACUCUUCAAGAUAGCUUAUAUAUGAAUAUAAUUUGAGUUUAUUUAUCUUUUACUAUAAACUAGCUUAUACGUAAGCACUUAUAUGAUAAUUGCUUAAUUAAGAUUUUAAUCCAAACAAUGCCGAGAAGGAAGAAAAGACAUACCAAGAGUGCCAUCUAAUGGAACAUAAGUUACUGCAAAGCUAUUGCAAGCCUGCAAAAUGGCAAAACCAAUUAGGUGAAGUCUUAUUACAAUAAUUAACAAGAAUGAUUAUACAAUUACAUACAAAGUACUAUACCUCCAUUGCAAUUCACAGGCCUUCCAAGCAUUUGGUUGUUGGGGUUCCUCUUGCCAGAAUCACUCUUCUAAGAAUCAGUCCCAAAAUUUGAAGCAAAUCUUGCAUAAAGCUGUCUCAACUUAACAUGCAGCAAUCUUGUCAAAUUUUUCAAAUUCAAAGUGAAAAUUCAUUUAAAACUAUUAAGAAUCUAAUAAGGAGCAUAUACAAAGAGGAACAAUGCCAUGGUGACUGGAACUAUAAACAAUCACUUUUUGCAAUACACACACCAAACUUAUAAAAAUCUUUCAUUUGGAGAAACUGAAAAGGUGUAAUCCCAAACACAACACUCCAUCAUCAUGAUUCAACCCCUAAUUCAAAUUCACUCCAACAAACACAUCAAAAUCAGAGUUCAUAGAUGUUCAUAAAUAUUACAUAAACUGCUUUAGCAAUUAACCGAUGCAGGUUUAGAAACAACAUAAAUAGGGGUUUAGAAAUCUUGUUACACAGCUAGAAACAAAAGCAAAAAAUAGUAAACACCAAUAUAAGAACAAAGUGACAAAUUCAAACAAAAGUUAGUACAAACAAAAUGCAACUGUUAGAAAUCAAGCAAUCAUAGAAAACCCCACAUAUAGGUGGUUCGAAUAACUACGUAUAUGCACAAAA
This 1836-nucleotide long non-coding RNA is filed under the name Trifolium pratense (red clover). Its description in RNAcentral is "long non-coding RNA (TPRA_LNC004272)". The record is from RNAcentral. Lineage: Eukaryota; Viridiplantae; Streptophyta; Magnoliopsida; Fabales; Fabaceae.